UUCAAGGUGAAUACGGCAGAGGACAUGACAUCUAUAUUUGGGUUGACUGGGGAAUCUCACACAUUAGAAGCUGUACAGAGGAGAGGAGGGAGAUAAAUAAAAUAUCCAUGGACACCUUGCCCUACCUCUUCGCCUCCCCUAAAAAAAUCACAAGGGUCUCAGCAAUUACCACAGUCUAAUACUAAAGGGGGAGCAGGAG
Molecule: long non-coding RNA, 199 nt
Filed under: Manacus vitellinus (golden-collared manakin)
Lineage: Eukaryota; Metazoa; Chordata; Aves; Passeriformes; Pipridae
Description: lncRNA (ENSMVIG00005009018.1)
Source: RNAcentral